Molecule: long non-coding RNA, 1585 nt
Organism: Frankliniella occidentalis (western flower thrips)
Lineage: Eukaryota; Metazoa; Arthropoda; Insecta; Thysanoptera; Thripidae
Exons: 6
Source: RefSeq, a predicted model, not a curated record
CAAGCUUUGCCAGGGGACUUUAUUAAUUAAGUUUAAGAGCACCUAUGAUCUUCGUAACACGUUGAGUACAUGGCCACACGGUUGGCGAUAAUACAUGUAAACGGAUCCCCGGGGCUCAAAGUGUUAAAAGCUACAAACGUUCGAAGUCUUUUACACAUCUAACCUCUUAUCAAAAUUCCGUAAUUGGAAACUUAUUGGGCGGUUCAUACUUACGUUCAAUCUCCAUUUCGACGCAGAUCAGUUAAGAUAGUUAAGAUUUUAUAGUGUGCAAAGUUAGCACAGAAAUUAGAGUUGUUUUACAAAUCAGCUGUGAUAAGCGUCAAGAAAUUCAACCAGGCACCAAGGACUACGGCUACAGCUGCAACGUGAGGUGGUAGAAAAACCAAGCGCUGUGGAGGGAAUGCCUAAGUUACUAUUAAAAUGUAGAGUUAAUGCAAAAGUUGUGUGUGUGUGAGUGUGUGUGAGUGUGUGUGUGUGUGUGUGUGUGAGAGAGAGAGAGAGAGAGAGAGAGAGAGAGAGAGAUUCAGCACAGCUGCCACCUUGAUAUCUUAAACGUUAGCAUUGGCAUACACCAACAAAAAAAUUCGAGGAAUAGUUUGUUUUGAAUGCCAGUGCAAAACUCAAUUAACAAAUCACAAAAUUUUACACAAGUUUCAAGAAAUAUCUGGGAUUAGCUAUUUUUGUAUUUGUCUUUAGUUGGCUGCACUGGUGGGUGACGCUCACCUCGUGUUCACCGUGCGAGAGCUACGCCACGCCAGUUCUGAAGCAGAGAAAAGAGAGAGAACCGUGUCCAUCGAGUAGCCUAGCCGUAUUAUCUUGUCUCAAUCAAUCAAUAAUGGAAGAAGGGAGUACUGAGCGGCAGUUGUCGAGAAGGGUAUGCACAACUACAACCACCACGAUUGAAGAGUAUAUAGCAGGCGGGUUCAACUCCAGAAUUCCCCCACCUGACAUUGUAGCUAAUGUGCCCCCACCCAAUGUGGUCAUAGCCAACAAUCUGCGGCCAAACAGAGGGUGGUUCCGACAUUCAAAUGCACGCCAGAUAUUGCCUGCUCGAGCUGCUGUAGAGCUGGAUCCAGUGGAUCUUUCGCAUCCAGUAAAUGCUGAGCCACUUGCUGCAAACUUCAAUAUCCCACCGCCGCAGAAUUUGCGAGAUUUUACCGUGCCCCGGAAUGUGGAACCCCAAACGUAGCCCACUGAGCGUGCACCAAUCCCACUGCCGGCACCAAUACAGCAGGUUGCUGAACCACUUGGAGUUAAUUUUCAUGUUCCACCACCUCAGAAUCUACGGUAUUCUACUCUACCAAGGAACGUGGAACCCAGAACCCGUAAUUCCUUUCAGCGUGUAGCUGGCAGAGUGCAACCAUUGCCUGAAAGAAGACAGCAGAUUGCUGAGCCACCUGCUGCAGUUAAUGCAAAUAUUCCACCACCUCAGAAUCUGUUUGGCUGUAUGCUGCUCCGGAAUGCAGAAUCUGAAUCCCAGAAGCAUUCUGUGCUUGUUGAUCGAAGACAGCAGGUGCGAAGAUUGGUCAACAAAUUUUUAAUGUGCCACCACCUCAGAAUCUACUGUAUUCUACUGGACCCUGGA